UACGAAGGGGACUAGCGUUGUUCGGAAUUACUGGGCGUAAAGCGCACGUAGGCGGAUUUGUAAGUCAGGGGUGAAAUCCCGGGGCUCAACCUCGGAACUGCCUUUGAUACUGCAAAUCUCGAGUCCGAUAGAGGUGGGUGGAAUUCCUAGUGUAGAGGUGAAAUUCGUAGAUAUUCGCAAGAACACCAGUGGCGAAGGCGGCUCACUGGCCCGAUACUGACGCUGAGGCACGAAAGCGUGGGGAUCAAACAGG
Molecule: ribosomal RNA, 253 nt
Filed under: uncultured bacterium
Lineage: Bacteria
Description: partial 16S ribosomal RNA
Rfam family: Bacterial small subunit ribosomal RNA
Source: RNAcentral